Triticum urartu is the source of this 587-nucleotide non-coding RNA. NCBI's taxonomy places the organism in Eukaryota, Viridiplantae, Streptophyta, Magnoliopsida, Poales, Poaceae. The record is from RefSeq and is a predicted model, not a curated record.
UGUGCAUCAUGAUUGGAUACAAGCAAUGUAAGUUUGUGCAAUUUUCUACUACCGUCAACUACAAAAAGUUAAAAUAUGUGGCCAUUUGUCAAGUGUCAGCGACAAUGUUUAUGCCCUGCCACCUGAUAUUUUUCUACUGUCAUAGACAAUCUACCUGCGGUUCUCUACGUACGAGGGUUCGGAGGAUUUUCUGCAAGACCUAAAGCUGUUGCUGUCCCCACUAAGAGUGGGCGCGGAAGCGUUCUCGUGGGCAGCUAAGAAGCUAGAGCCGAACAAGAUUGGCCUGGCGACGUCCCCCUCCACGACGGCGGUGCAGGACCGAGUUCUCAAAGCGGCAGCGAAGCACGAAUCGAAGCCGUCUGAUGCGGAGGAGUCCACCAAGACAGACAGUUUUGCCUCCGAAGCAUGAGAAGCUCCCUGUGAGCGUGUGAACUGGAUCCGUAGCCACUUCGCCGUCAGUCUGGUGAAUUGAUGUUUUUGAUGUUAGUAAUGGUACCAUGAGCCGCCGUGACGACGACCGGCAUUGUAAAUUUAUAAGCAGCAGUUUAUAUUACACUUGUUAGCAGAAGUCUUCAGUCAUUGGUCCA